GAUAUUGCACAAUGGGGGAAACCCUGAUGCAGCAACGCCGCGUGAGGGAAGACGGUUUUCGGAUUGUAAACCUCUGUCUUCGGUGAAGAUAAUGACGGUAGCCGAGGAGGAAGCCACGGCUAACUACGUGCCAGCAGCCGCGGUAAUACGUAGGUUGCAAGCGUUGUCCGGAAUUACUGGGUGUAAAGGGUGCGCAGGCGGGAAUGCAAGUCAGCUGUGAAAACUAUGGGCUUAACCCAUAGACUGCAGUUGAAACUGUAUUUCUUGAGUGAAGUAGAGGUAGGCGGAAUUCCUAGUGUAGCGGUGAAAUGCGUAGAUAUUAGGAGGAACACCAGUGGCGAAGGCGGCCUACUGGGCUUUAACUGACGCUGAGGCACGAAAGUGUGGGGAGCAAAC
RNAcentral lists this ribosomal RNA (396 nucleotides) under uncultured bacterium. Its description in RNAcentral is "partial 16S ribosomal RNA". It matches the Rfam family "Bacterial small subunit ribosomal RNA", at positions 359 to 773 of the family's 1533-position model. The record is from RNAcentral.